This 506-nucleotide ribosomal RNA is filed under the name uncultured bacterium. RNAcentral's name for it is "partial 16S ribosomal RNA". It matches the Rfam family "Bacterial small subunit ribosomal RNA", at positions 30 to 523 of the family's 1533-position model. The record is from RNAcentral.
AUUGAACGCUGGCGGCAGGCCUAACACAUGCAAGUCGAGGGGUAACGAGAGGGAAGCUUGCUUUCCUUGUCGACGACCGGCGCACGGGUGAGUAACGCGUAUCCAACCUGCCCCCAACUAGGGAAUAACCUUGCGAAAGUAAGACUAAUACCCUAUAAUUUCCUCAGAUGUCAUCUGACGAGGAAUAAAGAUUUAUCGGUUGUGGAUGGGGAUGCGUCUGAUUAGCUUGUUGGCGGGGUAACGGCCCACCAAGGCAACGAUCAGUAGGGGUUCUGAGAGGAAGGUCCCCCACAUUGGAACUGAGACACGGUCCAAACUCCUACGGGAGGCAGCAGUGAGGAAUAUUGGUCAAUGGGCGGAAGCCUGAACCAGCCAAGUAGCGUGCAGGAUGACGGCCCUAUGGGUUGUAAACUGCUUUUAUACAGGAAUAAAGUUAGCCACGUGUGGUUAUUUGUAGGUACUGUAUGAAUAAGGACCGGCUAAUUCCGUGCCAGCAGCCGCCGUAA